RNAcentral lists this unclassified non-coding RNA (607 nucleotides) under Hevea brasiliensis (rubber tree). Lineage: Eukaryota; Viridiplantae; Streptophyta; Magnoliopsida; Malpighiales; Euphorbiaceae. The record is from RNAcentral.
CAGGGUUCAUAUGUCCUUCCAUCUAAUUUUGAAGAGGUUGCAACUGGAGUGCUGAAGGUUUUGAACAAUUUGGCGCUUUUGGAUAUUUCAUUUAUGCAGAGAAUGCUAGCUAGGCCAGAUCUGAAAAUGGAAUUUUUCCAUUUGAUGAGUUUUCUUCUUUCUCAUUGCACGGGUAAAUUUAAAGUAUUUAGUGACCAGGUAAGUUUUUGUGUGCCAUUUUUUUUGAACAUCAUGCAUAUAGCCGUAUCAAUAGCUCAAAUGAUGUACGAAUAACUCUCAUAAAACAGAGUACGUCCAUGUGAAGAAUCUUCUUGCACAUAUGUUAAUGUAUAUAUAAAUGUAGUGAAUCCAUGAUUGAAUUAAAAAUGUAGGAAUCCUAAGAGCUUUCAACUUGUAAAUUAUAUAUAAGAUUAUGAUCUAAAUGUAAGCAAUUUUUACAUAUAGCAAAUGUGACUUUGAAACAAAUUAUUUUGGAGGUGGGUUAAUAUGGGAAGAGUGAUGAAUUUUAGUUGCAUUAUCAUACAACUGUGUAUGAAGUAUGUAUUUCUGGAACAUCUGCAUCAAGCUAUAACAUCUCCAAUUUAUAUCAGGUUGGGUUGCUUCUGCA